RNA transcript from Columba livia (rock pigeon), 2828 nucleotides. It is a transcript of the gene named histone RNA hairpin-binding protein, with no coding region annotated. The record is from RefSeq and is a predicted model, not a curated record. The transcript has 13 exons. Lineage: Eukaryota; Metazoa; Chordata; Aves; Columbiformes; Columbidae.
UUCGGGAGGCGGGGCCGCCGCCAUAUUGCGCGGUGCGGGAGCCGCUUCUUAUCAGCCAUGUCCCGCGGGCCGCGGGAGCUGCCGUGCCACACCGGCGGGGAGCCGGGGGAGCUGCGCAGGCAGGUGUGGUCCUUAUUGCAGAAGCCAGGUGUGAUGUUAGUAGAGCUGUGACAGUGUUUUCUUUGGUAAUCUGUUAUUGAAGAUGUCAAAGCCACCAGAACUGAGGAGGAAAAUGCAGUUCUGUGCAAUAUCCACACUGCUGGCAUCAAGAGCAGGAAUGUAGAAGCUGGAAUGAUUCAGAUUCCUUGGUGUCUGAUGAAUAUCGAUGUAGACAUUUAGACCAGUGGCUGGAGAGCUCUACAAGACCAGAAUACCCCAGGCCUCUUUCUAGUUGCCCCAGCUGGGAAGGUAGAAUUGAAGACAACAAAACAAUGAGGACAUCAAGUAAAAAAAUUACAAAGGAUUCUACUAAUACAGCAGAACGGGAAACAGAUGAAGUGGUUCUGAGGAGAAGACAGAAACAGAUCAAUUUUGGAAAGAAUACCCUUGCUUAUGACAGAUACAUUAAAGAAGUUCCAAAGAAUCAGCGAAUACCAGGAGUUCACCCCAGAACUCCCAACAAAUUUAAGAAGUACAGCCGUAGAUCCUGGGACCAGCAGAUCAGACUGUGGAAGAUAGCACUGCAUGCCUGGGAUCCUCCUGAAGAAACCUGGGAUCUGCAGCCAGUGUGUGUUAGUACAGAACCCUCAGGCAGUUCCCAGGAGUGGUUCUGCAAAGACCAAGAUGUUUCUGACUCCCUUCUAUUUGAUGAAAAGCAAAAGAGAAAUGAGCAUGAAGAUGAAUGGAAACAGGCUGACUACACACCAGAGAGUUCCUCUUCUCCCGAUUCUUCUCCAGUAUGGAAGCGCAGAAAAAGAAACAAUUCUGACUCCUCUGUGAUUUCAAAGAGAAAAAACCAUUAUGUGGAUACGUACCAUACACUGGAAAGUCUUACUGACUCAGGACAUCGGGAUGCUUUUUCACAGUGCUCGGAGUGGGAGGCCUUUGGUGAAAAUGACAAACUAAUGACAGUACAACAUGGGAUAGAAAUAACAAGGGACUCCAUUCCAGCCAGUUGUUCUUCAGGAUGGAACAAUCAGAAACAGAAAAACGACUUCUUUCUGCCUGACAGCAACACUUGCAGAGAUACAGACUUCAGGCUGGAGAGGCUUAAACUUUGUAGCAGUUUAUUGGAAGGACAUCAGUCGCAAUACCCUGAAAGGAGGUGGGGAAGUACAAAUGCUGAAGAUAGAAUAAUGACAAAAAAAAUUUGAAUACUAAGUCUCUCUUUGUAUAUAGAAGGAUCGAAGAUGGACUUUCUCCUGUGGCAGAAAAUGAUUUGAAGAAUAGGGAUGUAGUCUGAGAUCAGCAGAUGAAGUCUUGGAAAACUGGUGCAGUUGCAUAAAAUGUGCAUUGAAAGAGGAAGAGAUUUACAGUCAGCAUAUGUGCAAUCACCAUAAGGUGAAAUGUGCAGAUCUUUAAGAAUAGAUCAUUUUCUGCAAGCUCUGCUUCAAGUGUAAAACUUCAGUUUUCGUUAAGCCUGUGCUACAAUGAUGAUGGAUGUUCCAUAAAGCCUCUGAGAAUGUUUCUGCUUUACCUUCGUCGACAGAUGAUGUGCAUCAUAAUGUAAAGGCUACUUCAGUUGAUGGAUCCUGCUCUUGCCUUUUGGAGAUCGUGCUACUUAGAGUGUGCUAAUGUUAUGCUGGUGAAUUGGUCCAAUAUUGAUUCAGACUGAAGAAUGGCCACCCCUUAAACCAAGGAGUUAAACCAUGUUUUCUCUGCUGGCCUGGAAUUGUACAUGUGUCCUGAAGAACUGCUUCAAAAGAAUGUAGAUCAUUCCAGCCUUUCUGCAGUUGUUGAACUGUUAUUAGCUUUUGGAUCUGGUGAUCAUCCAUUUGGCUUAUUUACUGUUCUUGGAGAUGAGGUGUAUUAAGCUAGCAUUUGCUUAAGCCUAGUGAGAGAAGAGAAAGGAAGGGUAGAUGGUUUAUCAGAAUUGGCUCCCUGUCUUUAAAGGGGUGAACAGCUGUGUUGCUGAACAGCAACACAGCCUAAAUAGCUGGAUCUUGCUUUUCUGUAUGUUGCAGCCUGACCCAAAGAGCCAACCUACUGCUGAGAGUGUAAGAGGGUGAGUUCAGUGCCACCUUCUCUUACAGAAAUUGGAGGUGAGCAGCAGUAUUUGCAGUUUUGGAGCAGCUCUUGAGCAUGAGGUGUCCAGGCUAAGGGUUGUGAUGGUGUUGAGGUGUGCUCUCCUUUGUUUUGCUCUCCUAGCACUGUGCUCAGGACAGAGGGUGGACUGUGGGAGACAAUGGAGUUGAGACCAGAUUCAUGUGUCAGUUACAAGAAUUUCUUACAAUCCAUGUGGCAUUUUCUGUAGCAUGUACUGGGAUGCAGCUGUCUGUUAAAGCUGGGAAUUGUCUCUUUCCAGGAAUUCAGUUUGGUUCUUCCUAAGGCCACUGGAGAACUGUGGCAGCCUUUUUGGUGACACAGCACAGCCUCGCUGUGGGGCUGGCACCGUAGCCAAGGGCCAAAAGCCUGUUUUGCUGCUGAAGUGGAAGUGAACUGCUUCUCUAGAAACUUUUCCCAGUCUCUUAAAAAAUGUGUUUUCCAGGUGUGCUCAGGCAUGUGGUGUCCCAGCACAGGGGUGGCUCAGUCACACACUGCAGAGUGUGCAGUGUGUGUAUACAAGGAACUUUAUACAGCACUUUUUUAAGAAGUAACAUUUAUAACCUUGUUCCAGUGUGCAUGCUUCCAUAUAUUUAUUGUGACUGUAAAUAAAGGAGUACAUUACA